GCGUAAUUGGUUUAGUGGUAAAAUUCUCCGUUGCCAUUUGUACAACAUCAUCGGGGAGCCCUGGGUUCGAUUCCCAGAUUACGCA
RNAcentral lists this transfer RNA (85 nucleotides) under Fusarium equiseti. RNAcentral's name for it is "tRNA-Gly". It matches the Rfam family "tRNA". From Rfam's summary of the family: Transfer RNA (tRNA) molecules are approximately 80 nucleotides in length. Their secondary structure includes four short double-helical elements and three loops (D, anti-codon, and T loops). Lineage: Eukaryota; Fungi; Ascomycota; Sordariomycetes; Hypocreales; Nectriaceae. The record is from RNAcentral.